Molecule: long non-coding RNA, 2005 nt
Organism: Monodelphis domestica (gray short-tailed opossum)
Lineage: Eukaryota; Metazoa; Chordata; Mammalia; Didelphimorphia; Didelphidae
Source: RefSeq, a predicted model, not a curated record
GGUCAGAACCAGCCGUACACGUGGUCAUUCCCACAAGGGACUGGAGGGAAGUAUCCGAACCACGUUGGAGGCGGACCUCUGAACUCUUUUUCGUUGCUCUUUGCUCGCAACUCGCUUCGCAUCCACGGCAGAGUUUUAAUGAUCCUUAAUAAACCUCAUAGAAGUUUUCGAAAACUUCCGGUCAAGAUGGCGGCUUAGAGGCAGCAAAAGUUCAGACCUCUGAAAACCCUUCCUUACCGAUCACAAACUGAAUGCUCCUAGGGCACCGAAAUUCAAAGUGAACAACAGGACAGAUCCGGGGAACCCUCCUUCUGGACUCGGAUCAAAAGAAGAUGUUGUAAGUCUUCAUAGAAUUUAGCGACUCUGGCCUCAGCUGUGGAUGCGUCUGGAAAUGAAAGGAAAGUCUGAUUCUGGAACGAUCUCAUAGGAACCUGGAAUGCAAGAUCUGUGAACCAAGCAGCCCUGCUGUCUGCGGUCCAGAAAUCCGUGGUCCCCCAGCCCAGACCGGGUCACCGUGACAACGGAAGCGCCCCGAGGCGGGCGUCAGCUUCAGCCACGGGCCCAGACAGCGCCCUUCUUGAGCGCACCAUUGCAAACGGCUGUCUGAAACCUGACUGCUCGGCACCGAUUCUGCCAUUACGUGUUUUGGAGCAUGGAGCCGGGCGUGCCUAAAGUACGGACGCAGGGAAGAGAACGAGGGCAGCCUUUCCUUCGGGGGCUCUGCCUGUGGGCCAGAGGAGCUGCUCCCGCCGGGUGGGCCCAAACAGCACCGGAUUGUCUGUCCUUGACGGCGCUGAGGAUGCCCCCUGUGCGUGCCAUUCGCGGUCUUUCCUACGAGGCCAGACUCGCUGCCGUUAAAUCCCCUGCCAUCGCCAGGAGCCCCCCCCAACUCUGGUCAUCUGGCUGCAGCUUUGACAAUAGCCGAUGUGGACCAAGGCGUCGAGCCUCCAGGCCUGUUGGGACGCCCUGAGGGCCAGGACGGUUUCCAGACGGCACCUUCAUCGCAUCCCAAUCACAGCACCAGGGCCACCCCCGCGUGUUCGCUAUGCCCCAAACACUAGUGGAUAGCUGUGGCCCAACUUGAAAGAGAGGCUGGCCAGUAGCUCCACCAUCGCUAGGCUUCAAACUCUUGGCCAGAAGAACGAGCUCGUCCCUCACUAGUCCUGGGACACGAGUCCGAGGCCUGUCUCAGCCCUUCGUGAGCUCUGGCCACACGGCCGGUACCCUGAGAAACCGACGCUCAGGUCAGGGACCCUUCUGGACUGCCGCAGAGACCACAGCAACGUAAAUCUAUAGCCAGCCCGACUUCCGGGACCAAAUCCCCUAGAGAAGAAUCCACAGACGCAACCGAGACAAAAACGCUCCUCGUGCUGGGGACAGAACCUUGUGACUUGGCAAAACCCCCAAGACGGAGACUUGGGCGGCUGUAAAAUUCAAAAACAAAUAAGUGGGCGCUGCUGCCCUGACCUCGCCUCCACUAGGUCUUGAGCACGGAGCUGGCGCUGGAUUGGGCCACGGCUCCCGCGAAGCUGAGCUGCAUGGUAUUCUGAACUUCAGACCAUACUUCCGUUCUUCCCAGGCCCCACGGCUAGAAUGUUCCUGAAGGACCCAACACCUAGAUGUCGCCUGUCCUCCCUGCUCGGGCCACAGCCCAAGGCAGCGCCUCGAAUGGGCCGACAUAUCGCGGGCCUGCCAUUUAUGGGAGUGGGCUGCUUCUGGGGACCAUGCCUCUGCCUGGCUCAGGCCCACGAUACACGAUAGCGGAAAGAAUGCCAGGUAGGUAUCUGGUCUUGCUCCUGAUAAAGCACCCCCAUGUUGAUCCAGGGGGUUCAGAGGACUCUGGGGAGAGGUUGGAAUGACAUUUGGGUUAUAUGUGGAAGAUGAGAAAUGCCUCAGGAGGUGGUUUUUUUCAAGUAAAAGUUAUGAACAAACAUCUGCAGACUUUGUAGCCAUGGAGAAUGGUUAAAGAGCCCAUUCCAAAAACCAAUGAAUAUUUACUCAAAGG